This 27-nucleotide non-coding RNA is filed under the name Rattus norvegicus (Norway rat). The record is from RNAcentral. Lineage: Eukaryota; Metazoa; Chordata; Mammalia; Rodentia; Muridae.
UCUGGGGAGUGUCUCAUGACUCAGUGA